RNAcentral lists this long non-coding RNA (281 nucleotides) under Ananas comosus (pineapple). RNAcentral describes it as "long non-coding RNA (ACOM_LNC013968)". Lineage: Eukaryota; Viridiplantae; Streptophyta; Magnoliopsida; Poales; Bromeliaceae. The record is from RNAcentral.
AAGCGCAGGCCUUUCUCAAUUAUCGCGACUAUCUGAUAUUGGGAAGGUCAUCAUCGCACGGGAGGAAAACGGGGAAGACAAAGUCUCGGGGAAUAGAAGGGUCAAAUUCUUAUCACAUUCAAGUGAAAGCAAAGUAACCCACAACAGACAAAACAUUGCUAUAAACUGCACAGGACCGAACUACAGUUCUUCCCCCCCUGUUUACUUUUGUCUGGACUUCUUUGGGACCCCAAAUCUGAAAUUGGAAAAGGCCCCUCCUCAAACCGUUGCACUUAACCAGC